Molecule: long non-coding RNA, 4815 nt
Organism: Balaenoptera musculus (blue whale)
Lineage: Eukaryota; Metazoa; Chordata; Mammalia; Artiodactyla; Balaenopteridae
Exons: 5
Source: RefSeq, a predicted model, not a curated record
UUUGCUGCAAACACCCGCUGUCAGAGUUUGGCUUUCUGCACCUCCCUUGAUAACAAUCAGUGCCGAUGGGCUGCGGACCCUCUGCUGGUGUGCGGCUUCUCCUUUGCAGAUCCAGCAGCAGCCCAAGUCCCUUUGGCCUGGGGAUCUGGCUGGAGAAUUCCCUUCUGGAACAAGCAUCAGCACCCCUGGGCAAUAUUUUAGGCUUGCUGUGAAGGAAUGGUUUGGGGAUUGGAAGACAUCUACGGAAAGGAGGCAUAGCACCAAGGGAUAAUAAAGGAGCCAAGACAGGCAGCAAGGGACAAACAUCUCAAUCUACUGGAAAAUCUGCAAACAAAAAGGGGAAAUGAUAGAAGAAAUUUUCACAUAUUGAGCUGCAGCUAGCUGUCCCCAGGGUCCUGAGGAGUGAGGGAGCAAGACUUUGAAAAGCCUAUGGGAUGCCUGCGUGGAUGGAGCCGUCAGGAGGGCAACAUGGAAACCAGGGCAGGGCCAGGACGAAUGAGCAGUGGAGGCGAGGGGUGCAGAAUGGCUCCGUUCCAGGUGCUACAGAGUAAGCAAGUCCAUUCUCCCAGAGUGUGUGCAGCAGUGAGGACAGAUUCACCGCCAAACACCGUUCCAAGCACACUCACAGAGAAAAGACAGCACCACCAGGCAACGCACGGGGCAAAAAAGAACUAAUUGCAUAGUUACUGAAAAAAAACAAUCCAACGCACUUAUUCUGCAGCGAGAAAAUGGAUCCACUUUGCAGCGCGUUAACUCUAUCGGAAAGAAUGAUAAUCGCUCGGGAACUGAACGCUCCUCUUCCUUAGCGCUCCCUGGUAACUAUGCAAAUUCUUCCACACGUCUGCCGUGUUGGGCUCAGAACAAAAACGUCUUUUCUGAUCCGUGCUGGGGAUAAUUCCUAAAACUCAGUAAAUCCCACACUCUCAACUCCUCUCCCAAGGGUGGGAGGUGGGAUUCACAGCAUUGGUACUCGGGACACAUCCCCCAGGAUCGGGGUCCAGCCAGCUUGUCUCAUCAGGGACUGGGGCAUCUAACUUAGCUGUAAAACCCUAAAAUAUUUCCAUAUUGAAAUACAGAGGAAAGGGCGGCCCCUCAGGAUGCUGCUCUCAUAUCCUAGUACCAAAUCAGAGCCCUUCUACCCACAUGCAGAAAACCCUGUUUGAACAAUGACCACAGAGUCUGAUGGAAAAAGAUGCCAGCCCAUGAGCCCCUUUGCCUAAACUAGUCUGUGUUGCUUGGAAGAGGCAACCAAGUAAAAUAAAUGGUAAAGGUGGAAAGAAACUUUCAUUCUGGUGUUUUGGAUAUUUCAAGAAAAAGUAAAAUUGGCAAGGGGGUGAGAAAUCUGUUGUGGGUACCUAGAAUCACAGGCCAGCACAGAUGGGGAAGAUUUGUCUCGUCAGUAAGUUGGUGUUUCAGCCAGGAAAAUGGGAAGCAGGGGCUGGGGAGACCUCUGCCCUGCUUAUGUCUCUGCCAUUCUUUAAUUUUCAAUCAGGCAGAAUUCCAUCCUGCAGCUCUGCCGAAAGCCGAGGUUAGGCAAGUUUUCUUUCCCUGGCUUGGUGCAAGGAAGCUGUGAUGCAAGAGGCCUCUUUCUCAAUCCUUCUCUGCCUUGUUGGGGGCUGACCUGGCCAGGACCAGCAGGGUCUAGGGCAUGGACGUCUGUCUCGGGAGCUGGCCUCAGCGCACAAGCCCCUGUGGGCUCUCUCUCCAAGUGGCAGGGUCCGCUGCGCCAGGGUUGGAAGGCAAUGGGAAGUCCGGGCUUUCAGACACCAGCUUCUAUAUGUACAGAUGUGGGUCAACCUCACUGACCAGUGGACCCUCUUUGACCAUUCGGGUAAUCAGAAACAGGGAUUGGUUCAGUAUUUCAAUCUGCAGGCGGGGCCUAGGGUGCCCUUUUGGGGGCAGAGUAGUGUAGUAGCCGACAGCGUGGACGCCAGAGGCCGAGGCGCCCAUUCGUAUCUGGACCACGUGGUCCUCAUCAAGUCAUACCCUUUCUAUGCUUCCUCAGUUCCCUCAUCGGUCAAGUGAGGAUACUUACAGAACUUACAUCAGAGGGUAGCCCAGAUCAUACUUGGUGACCCAAAUAAACAUCCUUGUGGGUUUUUGAAGGGACAAAAAAGCAAAGGCAAAAUUCCUGACUUCUAGGAGUCUGUGUCCUCACUCCUUUCAGCAAACUCUGCACCUUAAACCAUGCCUGGCACAUAGUAGGCGCACAGCAAACGACCGCUGAACAAACACAGCUGGAAGACAAGUUCUACACACAGAGGAGCAGAACCCCCCUCGGCGACAGUGACUAAGCACCAAGUACAGGGUGCAGGCAAUAAAUACACCCAAUCGAGGCAUCCACCCCCUAAUGGAGUAACGGCAGUUUCACCUCGGGUUUUUAUUUACCUUCUUCCAUAUGCUUUCCUGUCUACUCUUCUCUCUCAGUUCCUUGAACCAGAUUUAUGUUGUCACGUGUGUGGAACAACCAGCUCAUUUUUCACUCGUGACGCUGCCAUUCCCCCGGCAUCAUCCGCUCCCCGGAGCACGUUCUGCCCGGGCUCAUUCGAAGCUACGCAGGCAGGCGUUUUUCUGAGCAGCCUUUCUGAGCAGUUGUUCACCUUUCCAGAAGUUCCACAGUACCUUCUCAUAAUUAGAAGCAUCAGGAACCCCAGGACGUACGCACAUUCAAUCAAAUGGGUGCACUAAAUAACCCGAGUCGUUUUCAAAGUCCUGAGUUACGGCCGACCGGGCUCCUAUUAGCAGCACGCAGGAGCUCGUCGUGAAUAUUGGUAAACACUUCUGGUGGGAGAGGCGUCCUGACAGCUUUGAUAAAUGGCUGGAAUCAUUUUCCACCUGGCCCGACUCAUUCCAAUCACAAGCUGCUGAAAAUAUCCUUUUUACACUCGCCCUUUUCUAAGUGCUGAGGCACGAACAAAAGUCCAUUCCCAGGCUGGUUACCUAAUUUUUAUUAAUAAUAUCUUCACUCUGUCAAUCGUUGUUAACUAACGAGAACAUAUGAAGAAAUUAAUUUAAGCCUGGUGAGAGGAAGCAUGGCAGCCCAUUACACUUCCCCUCCCCAGUGGACCCUGCGCCACUGGCUGCGUCACGAAGAUGCACGGUGACUCAGCCCGACCUGCCUCGACUUUCUCCGAGAGAGGACCGUUUCUCCUUCAGAGAGCCGUUUCCUAGGCUAGGGGGCUAUGCUAGCAAAGUUUUCUUAAUUGUUUCCCAUCCUUGAUCUCAUUCAGCACUGGGAAGGCUGUUGGCCCCCGACGCUAUGGGUGCCAGGGGCUAGUCCAUGGGCCAGGGUGAGCCACCUGUCUCAAAACUUCACCUGGCACCGAGGCCGGCCUUUUGCUCCCUGAGCUAUUCAUUCAAGUCAGGCCUCCAUAUUUUUGACCAAGGGUGGGGAGCAAAGGAAGAGGAAGAGGAAAAGGGUGAAUACCAGGCCCAGAAACAGCUCCCUGGUACCCUUCCCAUUGACCCGCUACACCAACCCCAUCUGUAUUCAGGCCAACAUUUGUCUUCCCGGGCCUGUGGCAUCUUGGGAACAAGACGGUAGCCAUGGACCAGUCCUUCGGGGGCUCGUGUUUACUUCUAUUCAGCAAACUACAACUUCCAGGUUCAAAGUUUCAAGAGAUGCACGAGCAUUCUGAACCCUGCGCACACCUGUAAAAAAUGUGAUGAGUCGCAGACAAGCAAGCCUGGAUUUUCUGUGAGUUGGCCCGUGGUGGUGAAAAUGUCAGGUGUCCCUUCAGUUAAAAUGAGUCCUCACAGCCUCCAUUUGCAGAGAGAGAAAGAGAAAUUCAAUCACAUUCAGUAGGCGUCCACACAUAAAGUAGCUCAUGUGAAUUAUUAAUGAUAAAUUUCGGCGGGGGGGGAUCUUCUUGGACUUUCUCUGUUGUACUUUUAACAAUUGAAUGCAAUGCUCAUCAGAUGUCUUCUUGUGAGAUGUCACAUUAUUUAAAUGAGAGCACAUCUGACAUUUCCAGAAGCACGUGCUAAAUUCUGAAAAGGGAAUGUUCUCGCUGAUUUGAUGGGCACCAUUUGGGCUUUUCAAAAUAAAGGUUUUGAGCACUUUGAUUUUGGAGCGACUUGCAUAGUUCGACACAGAGAUUUAAAAUACUCUCAACUACUUUAAAGAAGAACAGCGAGAAAGUUUCCUGCUUUGCGACAAACAGAGGAACCCUCCACAAAGUGACAUUUGAAAGGCACUGAUGGCGGAUAAUAACUGCUCAAAAUAUACUUAGAAACGCUUGCCGUUUCAUUGUUCUUUAUGUAUCUCAUUAUUCCGGGUAUUGUCAUGUCAAAAAAAAGUUUCAUAUGACAUAUGUUGUUCCUUCAAAAAAAAAAAAAGUCUAAGUCAGAGAUGAAAUCUAAGUCUCCACGAUACAUCGUGGCCUGGACAGGUCAUCUCUGGGAAACGACCUUUACUAUCUCUGGUUGCAGGCACUCACGUUCUAACAGAAAGGCAUUUAUUUGCUUGGGGUUGGCCCAUGCUGCUCCUUCCCUUUCUGCAGUGCCUGGGACAUUUACUGACACAUAUUGGAGCGCAAUUCAUGAGGCCAGACACUGUGCUAACUGAUGUGAGGGGUGAGAUGGGUGUGGGACGGUCCACAGAGCAACCAGAAGAAUCCCAAAAAUGUCAGUGCAUUGUUUUUCGUUACCUGUUCCAUUUGCUUACCCAACCCUCUGUAUCAGAUUGUGGUCAGCCCUUGGGAGCUACAAGGAGCUCCUCAGAGCUCCAAAAUCAGCUUCCUCUUUGUGAGUUAAACUUGGUCACAUCCUUGAGCCACCUUUGUUCCUACCUCAGGGCCUUUGCACCUGCUCUUC